Molecule: ribosomal RNA, 496 nt
Filed under: uncultured bacterium
Lineage: Bacteria
Description: partial 16S ribosomal RNA
Rfam family: Bacterial small subunit ribosomal RNA
Source: RNAcentral
AUGAACGCUGGCGGCGUGCCUCAUACAUGCAAGUCGAGCGAACAGACGAGGAGCUUGCUCCUCUGACGUUAGCGGCGGACGGGUGAGUAACACGUGGAUAACCUACCUAUAAGACUGGGAUAACUUCGGGAAACCGGAGCUAAUACCGGAUAAUAUAUUGAACCGCAUGGUUCAAUAGUGAAAGACGGUUUUGCUGUCACUUAUAGAUGGAUCCGCGCCGCAUUAGCUAGUUGGUAAGGUAACGGCUUACCAAGGCGACGAUGCGUAGCCGACCUGAGAGGGUGAUCGGCCACACUGGAACUGAGACACGGUCCAGACUCCUACGGGAGGCAGCAGUAGGGAAUCUUCCGCAAUGGGCGAAAGCCUGACGGAGCAACGCCGCGUGAGUGAUGAAGGUCUUCGGAUCGUAAAACUCCGUUAUUAGGGAAGAACAAAUGUGUAAGUAACUAUGCACGUCUUGACGGUACCUAAUCAGAAAGCCACGGCUAACUACGUG